Molecule: ribosomal RNA, 383 nt
Filed under: uncultured eukaryote
Lineage: Eukaryota
Description: SSU rRNA
Rfam family: Eukaryotic small subunit ribosomal RNA
Source: RNAcentral
AGCUCCAAUAUUGUAUAUUAAAGUUGUUGUAGUUAAAAAUCUUGUAGUUUGAUUUCUGGUGGGAGCAAUCAGUAUGGCACUUUGUGUUGUAGCUUACAUUUUCUCUAACUAGCAUUGGAAAGAAUCAGUCUGGCAUUAUGUUGUUGGGCUGAAGAUUUCCAUCUUUUACUGUGAAAGAUUAGAGUGUUCAAAGCAGGCUUAAGCCGCUGAAUAUAUAAGCAUGGAAUAAUGAUAUAUGAAUUUGGUGCUAUUUUGUUGGUUUACGUGCCAUAGUAAUGAUUAAUAGGGAUAUUUGGGGGUAUUUUUAUUCCAAUGUCAGAGGUGAAAUUCUUGGAUUUUUGGAAGACAAACUACUGCGAAAGCAUUUACCAAGGAUGUUUUCA